Molecule: ribosomal RNA, 491 nt
Filed under: uncultured bacterium
Lineage: Bacteria
Description: partial 16S ribosomal RNA
Rfam family: Bacterial small subunit ribosomal RNA
Source: RNAcentral
AGUGAACGCUGGCGGUAGGCCUAACACAUGCAAGUCGAACGGCAGCACAGUAAGAGCUUGCUCUUACGGGUGGCGAGUGGCGGACGGGUGAGGAAUACAUCGGAAUCUACUUUUUCGUGGGGGAUAACGUAGGGAAACUUACGCUAAUACCGCAUACGACCUACGGGUGAAAGCAGGGGAUCUUCGGACCUUGCGCGAUUGAAUGAGCCGAUGUCGGAUUAGCUAGUUGGCGGGGUAAAGGCCCACCAAGUCGACGAUCCGUAGCUUGUCUGAGAGGAUGAUCAGCCACACUGGAACUGAGACACGGUCCAGACUCCUACGGGAGGCAGCAGUGGGGAAUAUUGGACAAUGGGCGCAAGCCUGAUCCAGCCAUACCGCGGGGGUGAAGAAGGCCUUCGGGUUGUAAAGCCGUUUUGUUGGGAAAGAAAAGCAGCAGGUUAAUACCCCGCUGUUCUGACGGUACCCAAAGAAGAAGCACAGGCUAACUGCGU